ACAUGUUUGUUUUAUUUGUCUAUAUCCUAGAUUCGCAGCUGGACACAUCCUUCUACACUGUAUGCAAACAUGCAACAUCAUUACACACAGUACAAGGAGUCAGACUGGCAUAUGAGGAGCAAAGGAACCCAGGCAGUAGCAUCGUUUCACAAUGUUUCCAUCACCAUCAUCAGUGGAUGCCUUUGCCGUCCGUAGCCUGAGAUUUCAGAUUUGCAGCAAAAAACUUGAUUUUCCCAUUUAUUGGAAUGCUGUGCAGGUUGUACCUUGCAGCCAUCCAUUACAAUGUCACUAAGCCGUAACAAAAGCAGGAGAGGGAAAGUACAAGGCUAUGUUCCCAAAACACACAAGUGACAUACUUUAUGUGGAUGAUGUGAUCAGGCUUGUGUUUGAUGAGGUAUUUGAAGAUAAGCUGAAGGAAACCCCGAUUCCAAUGGACCUGGCAUCACAGUUUGAGAGACCUUCAAAGGAGGACGUGAUUGCAUGCCA
This is a long non-coding RNA of Paramisgurnus dabryanus, 486 nucleotides long. RefSeq lists it as uncharacterized. Lineage: Eukaryota; Metazoa; Chordata; Actinopteri; Cypriniformes; Cobitidae. The record is from RefSeq and is a predicted model, not a curated record.